UGCUUGGCAAGGAGGGGCUGUGCACACCUGGAAGCAGAAACACCAGAGCUGCUGGGAAACAAAGGCAAAGAGAGAAAGCAAAAGGCUGAGAUGAGGGUGAAGCACCAGGAACAGCCCCAUCCUGGCAUGCCAAUCUCUAGCAUCCAGCACCGCCCUGCUCCACAGACCAACAGCAAGCAAAGCCUCUCAGCAGCCAGCAUGGAUGAAAACUGGUCUCAGCAUGGCCCUAAACUGGUCCCAGGAAGCCAAUGUGUUGAAAAUCUGCACCAUUAGCUCCAUUAAAAUGCUUUAAAUGUAAAUCAGAAA
Molecule: long non-coding RNA, 306 nt
Organism: Haemorhous mexicanus (house finch)
Lineage: Eukaryota; Metazoa; Chordata; Aves; Passeriformes; Fringillidae
Exons: 2
Source: RefSeq, a predicted model, not a curated record